UAUCGGUGUCCGCACUGCAAGGUGGUUUUCUGGACAGUAGCGGAACUAGACAGAAAAUGAUGGGCGGGCCAGUCUGAAGGAUAGACCAAUAAAACCUAGUGGAUCAGACUUUUAGUGGGCUGAACCUUAGUAUUUUGCUCAAAACCAUUUCUGCUUGAGGUAUUGGUGCUGCCUGCUUUUUCUUCACGAAACCAAGAUCUUCUUCACUUUCCUGUUGGGUUCUUCUCUCAAAACAAAACUUGACUCUGAUUGUGUCAUCGUCAACAAAGAGCACGCCUUUGAAGAUGAGCGCUG
Long non-coding RNA from Lolium rigidum, 294 nucleotides. RefSeq lists it as uncharacterized. Lineage: Eukaryota; Viridiplantae; Streptophyta; Magnoliopsida; Poales; Poaceae. The transcript is spliced from 3 exons. The record is from RefSeq and is a predicted model, not a curated record.